UAGUUGGUGGGGUAAAGGCAUACCAAGGCAACGAUCAGUAGCUGGUCUGAGAGGAUGAGCAGCCACACUGGGACUGAGACACGGCCCAGACUCCUACGGGAGGCAGCAGUGGGGAAUUUUCCGCAAUGGGCGAAAGCCUGACGGAGCAAGACCGCGUGGGGGAGGAAGGCUCUAGGGUUGUAAACCCCUUUUCUUUGGGAAGAAGUACUGACGGUACCAAAGGAAUCAGCCUCGGCUAACUCCGUGCCAGCAGCCGCGGUAAUACGGAGGAGGCAAGCGUUAUCCGGAAUGAUUGGGCGUAAAGCGUCCGCAGGUGGCCAUGUAAGUCUGCUGUCAAAACCCAGGGCUCAACUCU
RNAcentral lists this ribosomal RNA (355 nucleotides) under Hydrocoleum lyngbyaceum T9. RNAcentral's name for it is "bacterial SSU rRNA". It matches the Rfam family "Bacterial small subunit ribosomal RNA", at positions 246 to 616 of the family's 1533-position model. Lineage: Bacteria; Bacillati; Cyanobacteriota; Cyanophyceae; Oscillatoriales; Microcoleaceae. The record is from RNAcentral.